CAGCGUCUCUACUCAUCAUUUUCUUUUUACCCUUCUCUCUCCUUUAUCCUUACCUUUUAUUGGGUGCACUUCCAUGGAAUGAGAGGAGCUUCUCGGUCUCCUUAUUGGGUUGGACAUGGCUUCCACUUGCUUCAUCUGCCUCUGGUUUAACAACCUUUGGUGGUUGCACUUCCAUAGCGGAAAUCAGGUUACUGUAUAUUUUGGGGAAG
RNAcentral lists this unclassified non-coding RNA (209 nucleotides) under Hevea brasiliensis (rubber tree). Lineage: Eukaryota; Viridiplantae; Streptophyta; Magnoliopsida; Malpighiales; Euphorbiaceae. The record is from RNAcentral.